This is a small nucleolar RNA of Trematomus bernacchii (emerald rockcod), 121 nucleotides long. RefSeq annotates it as small nucleolar RNA SNORA26. The transcript has a single exon. The record is from RefSeq and is a predicted model, not a curated record. NCBI's taxonomy places the organism in Eukaryota, Metazoa, Chordata, Actinopteri, Perciformes, Nototheniidae.
UUGCCCACCCUGGACUAAUAAAUGUCCUUGGUGAUUAACACAGGGGGGCAAAUUGAAUCUCUCAUAAACCUGUAGUGAAGGAACACCGUCCUCUCUGCGGAUCCUGUCGGGAGAAACAAAC